CCUACGGGUGUCAGCAGUGGGGAAUAUUGGGCAAUGGAGGCAACUCUGACCCAGCAACGCCGCGUGAAUGAUGACUGUCUUCGGAUUGUAAAGUUCUUUUCUAAGGGAAGAAGAAAGUGACGGUACCUUAGGUAUAAGCCUCGGCUAACUACGUGCCAGCAGCCGCGGUAAUACGUAGGAGGCAAGCGUUAUCCGGAAUGACUGGGCGUAAAGGGUGCGUAGGUGGUUUGACAAGUUGGUAGCGUAACUCAGGGGCUCAACUUCGGAACUACUGCCAAAACUGUUGGACUCGAGUGCAGGGGGGGUGACUGGAAUUUCUGGUGUAGCGGUGGAAUGCGUAGAUAUCAGGAAGAACACCGGUGGCGAAGGCGAGUUGCUGGACUGUAACUGACACUGAGGCACGAAAGCGUGGGGAGCAAACAGGAUUAGAUACCCCAGUGGUC
Molecule: ribosomal RNA, 443 nt
Filed under: uncultured bacterium
Lineage: Bacteria
Description: partial 16S ribosomal RNA
Rfam family: Bacterial small subunit ribosomal RNA
Source: RNAcentral